AUUGAACGCUGGCGGCAUGCCUAACACAUGCAAGUCGAACGGGGGUAGCGAUACCCUAGUGGCGGACGGGUGAGGAAUGCGUAGGAAUCGGCCCACGAGUGGGGGACAACCUGGGGAAACUCAGGCUAAUACCGCAUGAGCUCGGGAGAGGAAAGCGGGGGAUCUUCGGACCUCGCGCUGGUGGACGAGCCUACGUCCGAUUAGCUGGUUGGUGAGGUAAAGGCUCACCAAGGCGACGAUCGGUAGCGGGUCUGAGAGGACGACCCGCCACACUGGGACUGAGACACGGCCCAGACUCCUACGGGAGGCAGCAGUGGGGAACAUUGGACAAUGGGCGCAAGCCUGAUCCAGCAAUGCCGCGUGGGUGAAGACGGCCUGCGGGUUGUAAAGCCCUUUAGGCGGGGAGGAACGACCGGACGCUAACAUCGUCUGGAAGAGACGUUACCCGCAGAAUAAGCACCGGCUAACUCCGUGCCAGCAGCCGCGGUAAU
This 491-nucleotide ribosomal RNA is filed under the name uncultured bacterium. RNAcentral's name for it is "bacterial SSU rRNA". It matches the Rfam family "Bacterial small subunit ribosomal RNA", at positions 29 to 524 of the family's 1533-position model. The record is from RNAcentral.